This 106-nucleotide non-coding RNA is filed under the name Desulfitobacterium dichloroeliminans. RNAcentral's name for it is "TPP sequence". It matches the Rfam family "TPP riboswitch aptamer (THI element)". Rfam says of the family: Vitamin B(1) in its active form thiamin pyrophosphate (TPP) is an essential coenzyme that is synthesised by coupling of pyrimidine and thiazole moieties in bacteria. The previously detected thiamin-regulatory element, thi box was extended, resulting in a new, highly conserved RNA secondary structure, the THI element, which is widely distributed in eubacteria and also occurs in some archaea. Analysis of operon structures identified a large number of new candidate thiamin-regulated genes, mostly transporters, in various prokaryotic organisms. Lineage: Bacteria; Bacillati; Bacillota; Clostridia; Eubacteriales; Desulfitobacteriaceae. The record is from RNAcentral. RNAcentral also lists the same sequence under 1 other name.
GAAUAUGGAUAGGGGAGCUGUGGAACGGCUGAGAGGGAAACGAGUGUUUCCGACCCUUAGACCUGAUCUAGGUAAUGCUAGCGGAGGGACUAAGAUGUAUGAGCUU